This is a non-coding RNA of Amborella trichopoda, 370 nucleotides long. NCBI's taxonomy places the organism in Eukaryota, Viridiplantae, Streptophyta, Magnoliopsida, Amborellales, Amborellaceae. The record is from RefSeq and is a predicted model, not a curated record.
UUUUUAUAAACUCAUGUUUUGCUCAUUGCCAAUCCGAAUCACAAGAUACAUGGUUGGGAGAGAAGUCACCUAGCGUUCGCCAUAAGACAAUUGCAAACGCAGUAGGUGACUGGUAUUUUGGGCGUGAAGCAGUAUGGGAGAUCGACUGCCCCUAUCCUUGUGACAUUACCUGCCGGAACUUGAUACCACGUACCUUGUCUAUCUACUAAUUUUAUUCCGGAUAGAUAAUUAGGUGGUGAUCGCACAUGUAUUAUGUAUCCCUGCUCGUGCUUCGCCCAAAUAUGAACACAUUUUUUUUGAGAAGUAUAAGAGCAAAUAUUUUUGGGGAGUCAUCAUGAAUAAAAUCAGCUAAUUACAUUUUUUCUGAGCA